GAUGAACGCUGGCGGCGUGCCUAAUACAUGCAAGUCGAGCGAACGGACGAGAAGCUUGCUUCUCUGAUGUUAGCGGCGGACGGGUGAGUAACACGUGGAUAACCUACCUAUAAGACUGGGAUAACUUCGGGAAACCGUAGCUAAUACCGGAUAAUAUUUUGAACCGCAUGGUUCAAAAGUGAAAGACGGUCUUGCUGUCACUUAUAGAUGGAUCCGCGCUGCAUUAGCUAGUUGGUAAGGUAACGGCUUACCAAGGCAACGAUGCAUAGCCGACCUGAGAGGGUGAUCGGCCACACUGGAACUGAGACACGGUCCAGACUCCUACGGGAGGCAGCAGUAGGGAAUCUUCCGCAAUGGGCGAAAGCCUGACGGAGCAACGCCGCGUGAGUGAUGAAGGUCUUCGGAUCAUAAAACUCUGUUAUUAGGGAAGAACAUAUGUGUAAGUAACUGUGCACAUCUUGACGGUACCUAAUCAGAAAGCCACGGCUAACUACGUG
RNAcentral lists this ribosomal RNA (497 nucleotides) under uncultured bacterium. RNAcentral describes it as "partial 16S ribosomal RNA". It matches the Rfam family "Bacterial small subunit ribosomal RNA", at positions 28 to 507 of the family's 1533-position model. The record is from RNAcentral.